GCCUUCGUAGUGUAGUGGUCAACACUCUCGAUGCGAAUUCCAGAGGUCCGUGGUUCGAGUCCCGGCGAAGGCG
This 73-nucleotide transfer RNA is filed under the name Stegodyphus dumicola. RNAcentral describes it as "tRNA-Ser". It matches the Rfam family "tRNA". From Rfam's summary of the family: Transfer RNA (tRNA) molecules are approximately 80 nucleotides in length. The record is from RNAcentral. Lineage: Eukaryota; Metazoa; Arthropoda; Arachnida; Araneae; Eresidae.